This 70-nucleotide transfer RNA is filed under the name Pseudacris brachyphona (mountain chorus frog). RNAcentral describes it as "tRNA-Val". It matches the Rfam family "tRNA". From Rfam's summary of the family: Transfer RNA (tRNA) molecules are approximately 80 nucleotides in length. The record is from RNAcentral. Lineage: Eukaryota; Metazoa; Chordata; Amphibia; Anura; Hylidae.
CAAAAUGUAGCUUAAAUAAAGCAUCUUGCUUACACCAAGAAAAUACCUGUGAAAUCCAGAUCAUUUUGAG